Podarcis lilfordi (Lilford's wall lizard) is the source of this 1133-nucleotide non-coding RNA. The record is from the annotation of a GenBank genome assembly. NCBI's taxonomy places the organism in Eukaryota, Metazoa, Chordata, Lepidosauria, Squamata, Lacertidae.
CUGCUACUCAAGUGAAGGUGGCAGAGAGACAUUGGUCCUCACGCCCACACAGUACUGACCACUUUGAUUAGAAAGGUGCCCUUUGUACCUUAAACUAGGUGGAAGUUUCUUUCUUCUCUCCCAUCUUCUGAUGUACUUCUUCUUAUGCAGGUAAGAAGGCAUGCUUUUAGGACACAGGAUGACUUCAAGCAAGAGUGCCUGUCUGUGUCAUGUCUUCUUCUUCUUUAGCGAUCACUUGUAGCCAAGUAAGAUUGUCUUCCAUAAACACGAUUUUAACAAUGAGUCUGUAAGUGACUGUGGAGGCCAAUUCUGGAACCACAUCUCCUUCCACAGUGGGGACAUUGGUUUCUGUGCAGGAGUUGAUCACGGUGUGGAUUUGCCAAGCAUGCCUUCCUCUUAGCACGUUUCUCCCUUGCGUCCUGCGUUCGAGUGUCUUCAAAGCCCAUGACACUUUUGUUAAUGGCUGUUCUCCAAUUGGAGCGCUCGCAGGCAAGUGUUUCCCAAUUGUUGGUGUUUAUACUACAAUUUUAAAGAUUUGCCUUGAGACAUUCUUUAAACCUCUUUUGUUGACCACCAGCGUUAUGCUUUCCAUUUUUAAGUUUGGAAUAGAGUAGUUGCUUUGGAAGACGAUCAUCAGGCAUCCACACAACAUGACCAGUCCAACGAAGUUGAUACUGAAGAAUCAUUGCUUCAACACUGGUGAUCUUUGCUUCUUCCAGUACACUGAUAUUAGUUCGUCUGUCUUCCCAAGUGAUGUGUAAAAAAUUUUGGAGACACCGUUGAUGCAAUCUUUCAAGGAAUUGGAGAUGGCGUUUAUAAGUGGUCCACGUUUCACAAGCAUAUAGUAAGGUUAGUAGUACAAUAGCUUUGUAAACAAGCAUUUUGGUUUCCCUGCGAAUGUCCCGGUUCUCAAAUAUGCUGCACUUCAAUCGGGAGAAAGCUGCACUCGCAGAGCCCAGGCGAUCAUGGAUUUCGGCAUCAGUGUUUGCCCUUGUGGAAAGAUAACUGCCCAGGUAGGAGAAGUGAUCAACUUUUUCCAACGUUACACCAUUAAGUUGGAUUUGUAGCACUGCAAAGGGGUUAUUUUGUACUUGUUGGUGCAGCACUUUGGUUUUUUGGAUGUUGAGUGACAG